UUGGUCGAUUUAUAUUUACUUUACGUGCUUCUGGUCGGUAAAUGCAAUUUUUUUGAGUACAGUUUUCGCAUUUACCGACGAGAAGCACGCAAAGCACUGUACGUACGAGGUUCCAAAUUUUUAUUUUGACUAGUGGGAAUACAGACUUCACCGUCGGGUCGGGCCAUAACAUACCCACUCGUCAAAAUAAAAAUUUUGAACCUCGGACGUAAUGUACUAUUAUUAGACCUUACGUCUUCUGUACUCAUAGAGCCGAGUAAAGUACUUUGCACUCGAUGUCGUCGAGUGCUAAGUACUUUAUUAGACACAUCGUGUGCUCAACAAAAGAAGAAGAACUGAAUUAUUGGAUUUUUUUUUGAUCUUGUUGUUUCGGUUAAUAAAGUACUUUGCAUCGAGUUUCCUACAACGAUUUAUGCAACAGAAGCAGCUAGAGUUUCCAAAUGUUACACAUUAUAAUGCUGAGGUUUGUUCACCCUUUUUCAUGACUUAAAGAACUGCACCAAAAAAGUUGGACGAAAAUACUCCUAUAAUAAGUGAUGUAUUGUAAUUGUAAAUUGUUUGUGGGCUUUUGCAAAGAAAAUAAGAUGAUGGAGUUUGAAAUAUUGCAAGAAGUGGAAGUUACUUCAUUCGAAAGCAAUUGAUUGAUUAAGUUGUUCAAAUAUAACCACUGAAGCUCAGUGCCUCGUUCAGUGCACAACGAAUGCCAUUUUCAGCGAAUGACAUCCGAAGGCGAGCUCUUUAAUCGAAUCCGUUAAAAAAAGCCUUUAAGCAUAAGUUAGGAACAACGUUUUUCUAAGUCACGAUGUUUAGUGUUAAGGUAAAAAUAGUUAUUUAUGAAACUAGGUUGCAUAACGAAAUAUUUCAUCACUAGACGUGAAUUGUGAACCCGAGGCGAAGCCAAUACAAUUCACAAUACAUCAUGUGAUGAAAUAAUUCAAUUAUGCUCCGUGUGUAAUACAACGUUUUACGUAAAGAAGCAAUUUUAUCAUUUACUUUAUCGCUCUAGUGCGAAAAAUUUUAUGGAAAUCCUUUAUUGAACUGGUGCUCUUUAUCGCACUGACGCAUUUUUUUCACGGUGGGGUUAAACAAAACUUAAAUAGAGUCGCGAUACCACCUCUGAUUUUUCUUCAUGUUCUUAUUGAGGGACUCGAGUACUAUAAGGAACCACAUUCAGUUCGCGAAUCCAUCCAGCCGUUUCGGAGAAUCGGCACUGAUGGCCGUGCGGAACCGACGAGUCAACGGAUAGAGGCACUAAUUCUAAGCUAAUUCGCGUUAAAAUGGCUUUCUUCGACAACCUGGAGAACAUGAAGAAAGAGGUGGGAUCGCGACUCUAUUUAAGUUUUGUUCAACUCCACCGUGAUUUGAGUACGCAAAUGGCAACUCGUACUAAAAUUUGACAUACGCCAUACUUAAUUACUGUGCUAGGUGCUUUGACUAUCAUGCAUAAUUUGUUACAACAUAAA
Molecule: long non-coding RNA, 1463 nt
Organism: Bradysia coprophila
Lineage: Eukaryota; Metazoa; Arthropoda; Insecta; Diptera; Sciaridae
Source: RefSeq, a predicted model, not a curated record